Podarcis raffonei (Aeolian wall lizard) is the source of this 373-nucleotide long non-coding RNA. RefSeq lists it as uncharacterized. NCBI's taxonomy places the organism in Eukaryota, Metazoa, Chordata, Lepidosauria, Squamata, Lacertidae. The record is from RefSeq and is a predicted model, not a curated record. The transcript has 2 exons.
UUAUUUUUCAUGGAAAAUGAGCUGAGGUGCAAUGGAAAUGGAGCUUCAUGAAACACAUGCAGGGCAGAAUGGGCACCAUCACAUUUACUUUUGAGUGUAUUUUUCAUAAACAAGCUAGACGCAGCUCAAGCACCAAAGUAACUCUAACAACAGCAAUGGAAGAUACUUCAGAGGAUGCAAGAGAUGAGUUAUACGGCAAAUUAAAGCCAUCAUGUUUCUAUGAUAUGCAAGAAAACAGAUGCUAAAAUUAAUUUGGUUCCUGAAGCAGAGUGUAAUUAAGACGUACCUGCUUUGUGUGCAGGUUAAAAAACACACCAACCCACCUCAAAUCAAAUGGCAAUAAAAAUGCAAUGAAGCCUGCUCUUCCAAAUUA